CAAAACUCGUGCUACAACAGGAGGUCAUC
RNAcentral lists this non-coding RNA (29 nucleotides) under Mus musculus (house mouse). The record is from RNAcentral. Lineage: Eukaryota; Metazoa; Chordata; Mammalia; Rodentia; Muridae.